Molecule: ribosomal RNA, 497 nt
Filed under: uncultured bacterium
Lineage: Bacteria
Description: partial 16S ribosomal RNA
Rfam family: Bacterial small subunit ribosomal RNA
Source: RNAcentral
GAUGAACGCUGGCGGCGUGCCUAAUACAUGCAAGUCGAGCGAACAGAUGCGGAGCUUGCUCCUCUGACGUUAGCGGCGGACGGGUGAGUAACACGUGGAUAACCUACCUAUAAGACUGGGAUAACUUCGGGAAACCGGAGCUAAUACCGGAUAAUAUAUUGAACCGCAUGGUUCAAUAGUGAAAGACGGUUUUGCUGUCACUUAUAGAUGGAUCCGCGCCGCAUUAGCCAGUUGGUAAGGUAACGGCUUACCAAGGCAACGAUGCGUAGCCGACCUGAGAGGGUGAUCGGCCACACUGGAACUGAGACACGGUCCAGACUCCUACGGGAGGCAGCAGUAGGGAAUCUUCCGCAAUGGGCGAAAGCCUGACGGAGCAACGCCGCGUGAGUGAUGAAGGUCUUCGGAUCGUAAAACUCUGUUAUUAGGGAAGAACAAAUGUGUAAGUAACUAUGCACGUCUUGACGGUACCUAAUCAGAAAGCCACGGCUAACUACGUG